UCCUGGGCUGAAAAUGAAGAGAAUUGUGCUCAAUACUUAUUAGGAGUUAAAUAAUAGUUUCCAGCUGUAAAUGAAUGACUACAUCUCCCCGCAUUUGGUGUCACCCUGGAAACUACUAUUUAUUCUUUUGGGUAAACACUGCUGGAGACAAGCUUCAGGUGCCCAGGCAACCUAGCCAGGCUGACAAAGUACUCCAUGAGCCCCCUGCACUCACUCCCACAGGCACCUUCAUUCUCUCUUGGUCUGCUUCUCUGGGUGGGAGGCCUCAGGAGCCCCAGUACCGAGCUGGGUAUGUAAACACUCACUAAGCGGGCAGAUUCGCUCGAAGGAGGCCUGCACCUCUGCACACACCUGCAAGUGCUAGGCCCUAACACCAGCAUCUGGUGGUCUGUCUGAUGUCCACCAGCCCCCACAUGUGGCUGUCACUCCAGACAACAGACUUGUUUAUGAGCAGUGAAUGCUUUGCUCAGCAGGGCAGGCAGAAUGACCCCAGACCAGGGCCCUCUCAGUCUCAGAAUCUUCAAGCAUAGGAGCCCUCCCACACCUACAACCUGUCGGUUCCAUUUGACUGCCCCCCCACUCCAGCUGCCUCCACCUCAGGCACCUGUUCAGGAGCAUGGCAGACCAGGAUCCCAGCAGAUGGCUGGUCCUGCAGGCUGAGGACUGACAGAUUCUUUGGCCUGUGGCCCACAGAGACAGGCAGACAUUGUCAUUAGGAAGAAAUGAAAACAUUGCUCACUGCCCCUUUCCAGUGGGGCACAGAACUUAACCCCAUGGCCUCUACAGCAGCCUGUCCCCCUCCUCCCAGUCUCUACACACCAAGCCUUCCAGGCAACAUUGGAUCGUGGAGGUGAAGUUCAUGGAUGUGUGUGGAGGAGAUAACAAUGUGUCAGGUGUCCCCUGUCUCCCUGUCUUCUCCUUCGUGGACAUCUGGAGACAGUUCUUCAACGUUCAGGGCUGGCCUGGUGUCUCUCUUCCUCUGGGCUACGAGGACCUGCUUGUUCUUUACAAUCACCCGUUUUCCCCCACCCCUUCCUUUUCACCCUUUCUCUCUUUUCCAACUUCCCUUCAGCUCAAGUUGUGUGUGAGAGAAAGAAGGCGGCUCACGUGCCCGGCUGAGGAAUGAGAUCAUUUCUCUCCCCAUGUAGCGGGCUUGCUGUCUGCUGGUCGGGGUUACUGGGAGAAAGCAGGACAGCUCGCUCUCCACAGAGAGCCAUCUGGCUCCAACAGACUCACGCGGAUGCUAAUCUAUUGGUUUCUUUUUCUUUUAUUCUUUCAUUCUUUCUUUUUGUUUGCUCCCGAGGAACACUUCAUCUGCAGCUGUAAAUUCAGACCUGGCCCCGUGAAGGCGAGCGUUCAUUCGUGCAUUUAUUUAUUCCUGCAUUAUGCCCCCUCGCCCCCUCUCCUCUGGCGUUCUGGUUGGAGAAAGGAGAUGGAGGCAUGCUCGAAGCCUGAUGUCUACCUGAUGAAGCACUGUCAUGUCUACAUUUACUGUUAGCUAAUCACAGUGGUAUCUACAGUACCAAUGGUGUGUAAUAUCAGUGUUAUCUAAUAUCAGAGGUAUCCGCCUGGGAACUCAAGCUGAAAAACAUGGCGACAAUAUCAUUGUGGCUAUUGUUGGUUGAUGCUUGUUUUGCGUCAAGCACCCAGCUAAAUAUUCUCCAUAUGUGGCCUCCUAUAGUCCUGUGAGUGUGAUGUACAUAGUAUUAUUAUCCAUGUUUCACAGAGGGGAAAAUGAGGCAUGGGCUAAGUGGAAGAAGUGGCCUUCAGACCUAGCUCUGCCCAACUCUGACCUUAGCUCUCAGCCACUGGGCCCCAGUCCUCCCUAAUGUUUCAACAGGAAGAAAGGUAACUACUCACUCACACCCUGUAUAAACACUUUCAUAAUGUCAGACACAUAGAGUUGGAGUGAACUAAACAGGAGAGAUCUAAUAAAAGUUAAAGCUUGAUUUUUUCCCUGACAUAUCCUGCUGUUUAAACAGAUAGUUCAUUUGGAGCCUGAAAAAGAGUCAUCAUUCAAUGUCUCCAAAGCUGGGUUUACAUUAGUCUAUUUUAUGAAAAAGUAAAGUACCUCCAACUACUGGUCAUUGCUCUCUUCUGUUGUGGAAGAAAGAGUCAGGGAGCAGGAGAGGGUGUGUUUGGAUUCCAGCGCCCCCUGCAUCUCCCCACUAAGCAGCUGCCUUGAAAUACACGGAAGCUGAUGCCAAUUAGAACUCAGAAAAAAGGGAGGACAUUUUGUCGCUCAGGAAAAGUAUGUUUUAAACAAAUGAUAAAAUAAACACAACAGGUUUACGUAAGAAUCUCCAAUGCUUUCUCCAAUGAAUGAGCGCCAUCUUGAAAGUCCAUGAGGCCCCACUGCAGCGAGCAAACAUUAAUCAAAGCCAGAGUUAUCAGGAGACAAAACGUCUACUAAUUUGCUAGGGACUAAUAAGCAUCAGUCACACCCACCAUUAUAACUUGUUUUACCUUGUCCAAGGGUAAAGACACAUGUAAGGAGACUCACAACCUUUUAGAACAUUAGCUUUGUCUUAAGUGAGGGAAAAAAAAAUAAACUUCUGCUUACGGAGGAA
Long non-coding RNA from Macaca mulatta (Rhesus monkey), 2570 nucleotides. RefSeq lists it as uncharacterized. The record is from RefSeq and is a predicted model, not a curated record. Lineage: Eukaryota; Metazoa; Chordata; Mammalia; Primates; Cercopithecidae.